GCUGGAUUCAGUUUGCCAGUAUUUUACUGAGGAUUUUUGCAUUGAUAUUCAUCAGGGAUAUUGGUCUAAAAUUCUCUUUUUUUGUUGUGUCUCUGCCAGGCUUUGGUAUCAGGAUGAUGUUGGCCUCAUAAAAUGAGUUAGGGAGGAUUUCUUCUUUUUCUAUUGAUUGGAAUAGUUUCAGAAGGAAUGGUACCAGCUCCUUCUUGUACCUCCGGUAGAAUUCAGCUGUGAAUCCAUCUGGUCCUGGACUUUCUUUGGUUGGUGAGGCGAUGCCUCACCCUGCUUCAGCUCUCUGGUCCGGCUGCACUAGCUGACCAGCACCGAUUGUCCGGCACUCCCCAGUGAGAUGAACCCGGUACCUCAGUUGAAAAUGCAGAAAUCACCCGUCUUCUGUGUCGCUCGCGCUGGGAGCUGGAGGCUGGAGCUGUUCCUUUUCGGCCAUCUUGCUCGCACCCCCUACAUUUGUAUGUUUUAGAUAAAUAUCGUUUUGCUUUUUUUUUUUUUAUGGGUGAAACAGUUUCUCCAAAACUAUUUACUAUUUUUAUUUUCCUCCAUUGUUCAGUGACAUCAUUUUCAUCAUCAGCUAUAUGCCAUGUCCUGGAGACACUCAGGCAGCAGUCCUGUGGAAAGGCCUACUUUGUGAAGAAAUGAAAUCUCCAGCUCAUAGCCAUGAAGCCUGCUAACAACUGCAGGAGCCAUCUUGGAGGCUGAUUCCCCAGCACCAGGAGAAACAGGGAUGACAGCAGACCCUGUUGGCAGCUCAGUUGCAACCUUAUAUGAGACCCUGAGGCAGAGUCACCCAGAUGAGCCACUCUGGGAUUCCUGAUCCUUAGAAACUAUGUGAGAUAAUGAACAUUUGUUAUUGUUACCUGGGAAGUUUUGGGUAGCUUGCUACACAGCAAUAGAGAACUAAUACAGGCAAGUACUGUUAUUAUCCUCAUUACAGAUGAGCAGAUAAAACAGAGGAAGGUGGAGUCACCUGUCCUGGACACGUGGCUGGGAAGUGGUGGAAGGCAGACCCACACUGUCUGACCUCUGAGCUCACAUUCUGAACUCCGGUGGUUUAUAAACAUGAUGCGAUGUCUUUUAUACACUGCUUCGUUUAUUUGAAGUCCUCAAGUCUUAUUUGAAGUCUCAGGUGUAUUUGUAGUCUUUCCUUUUAAUUUGCCCCAAAUUUCAAGAUUGGUGGAUAAUUUCAGAGGGAUUAAGAUUAAUAGGGAGUCUAAAAGUCUUUAAAAUUAUUUUACUUAUAGUUUAAAAUAAUGUUUAUAUGUAAUCUAACAUUUGUAUGUUUGGGAAUCUUAUGUCACAGAAUAGAGAUGUCAGAGGUGGCUCAUAGUUUUAGGAAAGGAGUAAGGAAGUCACUGACCUUCCAUUUACAGGGUGAGAUUUGAAUUGGACUUCUAUGUAGAUACAUGGUUUUCACUCAUUGAAAGCAUGCAGAGAAAGAGUCACACAUGAGAAGAAUACAGUAUUAUCAAUUCUGGUAAGCAUAGAUCAAGGGUUGGCGGAUUUCUUUAGAUGUCAAGAUCAGACUUGAUUACACAACUUUUGCUCUGAAUUCAUGUGGCCAUUGAUUUGAAAGUCAAGAAAGCCCCAGGUUUUAAUUCCUGUGUCAUUGCAGAGGUUUCUUGGUGAAGUUUCUGCAUUAUGUUUUUCCUUUCUCAUCUGCAAACCUCUCAGUUUUCUACCCUGCAGUUGGAGAGAGAAAGAGGCUGCGCUGCUUCCUCCCAAGUCUCUCAGUUCUCCUUACUUUCUUGUUUCUGACCCCUUGGUUUGGUGAGAGGCAUGUGGACUGGCUGUAAGGUCGUGGGCAGCAUGUGACCACUCCGGUUUUACGUGGAAAAUUGCAAGCCACCUGCUUGAAGUCACUCGAAGAAUGAAUGAUAAGGCCUCCCAGUCUGGUUACCCUUCCACCUCUGCUGCUCAGUUUGCUUCUAAGUCUUACUUGAUGCAGGAUAAUUCUUUACUCAGUCAUGGAAGGUGACCAAUAGAACAUCUAUCUUAUAUUCCCUGUGCCACUGUUACUUGGAUCUUUCUUAUCUCCCUAGUGGAUUGGAAGCUCUUGGAGGUAGAAAAAUGGGAACAGAGCCUUGCCUACAGCAUAGCUCAAUAUAUACUUAUGCUAUUGAUAAAUAAGAGUAAAAGGACAGAUGGAAGCAAGGGUGGAUGAUGGAACUAUGAAGCAUACUGAGUUUUCCUACUAAUGUUGCCUUGCUAAUGUGCAUUGAAUAAGAAAACAAAACCUUAUAUGUAUUUUGAAUGUACGAAACAGGUCAGCUCAAAAUAGGUAUUUUACUUUAAAUAAAAGUGGCCUUGGUGUGGUGGCUGACACGUGUGUAAUACUAGCACUUUGGGAGGCAGUGGUGGGAGGAUCCCUUGAGUCCAGGAGUUCAAGACCCGCCUGGACAACAUAGUGAGACCCUGUAUCUACCAAAAAAUUUAAAAGAUUAGCCAAGCAUGGUGGUGUGUACCUGUAGUCUCAGCUACUUGGGGGGUUGAGGUGGAAGUAUCUCUUGAGCCUAGGAGGUUGAGGUUGUAGUGAGCUGUGAUUGUGCUGUUGUGCUACAGCCUGGAUGACAGAGGAAGACCUGUCUGGGAAAAAAAAAAAAAAAAAAAUUUGCCCAGAGCAUAAAGUUCAGUUUCAAAAAUUCAUUUUAUAGCCAACUUUUCAGUGAUUGACCUGUUGGUAAAGUUUUAUCAUAAAUAAUUUAAAGCAGAGACCAUUUUCUGGCUUGGCAGAUGUUUUAUUUUAAAAAAUCUAUUAUAUUUUAAUUGUCUAUUUCCACAUGCACAUUGUUUUUUUGGCUGGGAAGAGAAAGUUAAUUGAUGGUUGAUUUAUGUUCUGCCUUUUCCCAAAGGAUUAGAAGUUGUUUACUGCUAAAUCAUAAUGCAAAAUGUAACUUUCCACGGCUGGUAACCACACGGUGCUUUCCUGGUGAUAAUGUUGUUCUGUAACACUGUUUACCACAUUAUAAUGCAUCAUAUUAGAGAUGCACAAAUGAAUAGAUUCAGAGGCAGAACAAGCAAUAAAGUUUUCUACAACCAGAAUAAAUAAAUAAGGUGGGCUUAGGAUGGGUGGAGAACAUGGGUGUCCAGUGGUUGCAUAGAGAAUGAAGAGUUAAGACUUUGGAUGGUUCUAUCUAUGUGGUGGACAGUGAACAGAGAAUCAUAACUAUAAGACAUAUUCUGAUAGUAUAGUUGUAAGUAAUUUUACGUUAUAAAAGUGUUUCCUCAUUACUAUUUCACAACAAAACCCACUGUUUACUGAAUACCUGUGACACUGUGUGACAUAUAUUAGGCACCUAAUAAGCCAGCACAGGGCAGAGUUAUUCUUCUAAUCUCUCCGGCUUCCCCUUCUGCAGCAUCUCUACUCUCUUCAGCCAGAGAAUGUUCUCUUCUUUUAAGGGACCUUAUCUGAUUAGAGAAAGCCUACCUGAUUAACCUCUGGGUAACCUUAAGGUCAACUGGCUUGGGACUUUAAUAACAUCUGCAAAAUCCUUUUUGCCACAUGGCAUGACAUAAGUAUGGGUGUAACAAUAGAAGCUGAAGUCACGGGGGCCAAAAUUCUACCCACUACAGCCAUAAAGCUAGAAAGCAGCAGCUUCAAGAGCCUAAUCAAGGUCUAACUGGCUUCCAAGUCUGUAUUCAUUCAUCAUACCAUGAAUAUUCAUGAGUUAAAAUAAGAAAAACAUAUUAGAAAAUAGUUUAGGAUCCCCA
This 3720-nucleotide long non-coding RNA is filed under the name Papio anubis (olive baboon). RNAcentral describes it as "lncRNA (ENSPANG00000042242.1)". The record is from RNAcentral. Lineage: Eukaryota; Metazoa; Chordata; Mammalia; Primates; Cercopithecidae.